This 4039-nucleotide long non-coding RNA is filed under the name Homo sapiens (human). RNAcentral's name for it is "novel transcript". The record is from RNAcentral. Lineage: Eukaryota; Metazoa; Chordata; Mammalia; Primates; Hominidae.
AACACUCCCUGAUGCCAGCCCGGGCAUCAAGUUGAAGCCCUUUCAAGCGAUCAUCGGCUCCCUGGGAAAUGCCUUUUCUCUGUUACCUGGCACAGCCGAACAUCAAGAAGAAACGUGGAAAACAUCACACUGACCCCCCAGAAAAAUGAAAGAAAAGUACGGAAGAGACCAAUUCCCACCCUUGCUAUAGACGGAAUAAGUAUGUGCGUUUGUGAACCUUAAGUGUUCAUCUAAAUAUGUUGCUUCAACGGAGAUCCGCUUGUGGAUACAGACACACGAAAAUACACGAGACCACGCUCUAUUUUAAGGAAUUGCUGAAGAGUGUUGAACACUCAAACCCACCGCACAGCACCCUCGCAGCUAAGAGCACAAUUGAAUGAAACCAGCGGAUUCAUUUAUUUUAACCUCCACUGGAGCUGUCCCAAAAAAGCAGGGUGGGCAAUGCCAUUUCUGCAGCCGUCCAGGGCUCUGGCAAAUGUUAAGGCUGUCACUGUAGACAGAAUCCCCAUGGUCUGUCUGUGUGCCUCGAUAGAGUCCGAAGAAAAACAUUCCUCGCAUUCCUGACGGUUGGUCCUAUCUCCGGGCCUUGGACUCGGCCCUGCAGGCUCGUGUCACCCCGUCAAACGGCCUAGGCCACGGCUAAUCUAAACCGCUGCCCUCCCCAGCCAGCCCUGCGGCAGGGUGAAAACUGGGACCAAUUUGCUGCCUAAACCCUGAGGAUACAGCAAGUUUGAUUCUCGACCUUUAAGGACACCAGCUGCAAUUUGUUCCGCCGAAAAGAGCUUAGCGGUUCUGGCACAUUCUGACAAGAUACAUUUUAUAGGGUUUGUGCUCAAAUUUGAUAUUGGAAGUUAGGAUUCCAAUUUUAUGCCUCCAGUGAUAACAAUAGCAGCUGGGACCUUUAAGAAAUGUGUGUGUAUGCCUUCUAUUGAAGAGUUACAUAACAAAAGCUAUUUAUGUCAAACACCUUAUAAGGGAAAGAUUUAGCCUAAAUGUCAACAUAACAUAUAAUACUUUUUCAUAUUUAGAUAGGACGAAAACAUCUGCUAUCAGUGCUGCAUAUAAUUUUUGGUUUGGAGUAUUAGAUCUGUGGGGGCUUUCAACAUUUCAAGUAAGCAUCUCCUUGCCUUAAUUUACGAAUUCAUCGAGGGGCCUUUUUUUCAAUAUUGUUUCUGUAUAAAAAACAAAUACCGAUACAUCAUGAUUUGGUUUUCCAAGUCCUUCUAAUGAACGCACACAAAAGAAGGGCACAAUUUCAUGUUGUUUGAUUUGACAUUUGUAAUUCCCAAGCAUGCCAUGAAGCCAUUCAGUGGUGCCUUAUAAACCGAGGCUGCUUUUGUCUCCUGAAAAUGGCUGUGGUUUUGGAGAGGACCUGGCUGACCAGAACCUUGGUAAUUCUGAUGAAGGAAGAGAUCAGCCGCUCAAGGAAGAAAACCUUUCCCAGCAAAGGAACAGCAGCGCCCAGUUCAAGACAACAUCUGCAGCUCGAUUUUGGAGGGGCUUAAAUUCCCUCCAGCUUCCCUAGUGACACCACAGCAAGCUUUCUGAGAAGGAAUCCCACCACCAAAUAGACAAUGACUCUUGUUUACACCAGACGCUUAGGAGUGACCACACGUGGGCCUGUGAGGCAGGCUUGGCUGGAAAAUCCCAGCUUCCCUCUUAGCUUUUCUGCUCAGACGGCAGAACCUAACUGAGAUGGGAAGAGAACCCCAAUUAGCAAAGCCAGGGAUUCGCCUGCACCCAUGCAUGUGCCGGUUCCGUCCGUCCCCUUGCUUCAGGUUUCUUUGACGAAUUGGACGGUGUGACCACGGGUUAAUGAGAAAGCCCAGUGGACGGCGGCACGCACGGUCAUCUGGAUGUUCUCUGCUCCUGCCCCAGCCCCUGAGCCUCCCACUGUGGACCACAGCCCCCGUUGGGGAACACAGAGGUCACGGGGGCCAAAUGCAAAUACCACUUCUCCUUGGGACCUGUUGGAACCAGGCGACACCAACUUAAACUUGGCAAAACGCAAGUUCAAUUUCUUUUGUUCUGAAGUCACAACUUGGAUGUAACAGCUCCUAAGCCAAUAUGAUCUGAAAAAGAACUCACUACUGAGCUGCCCCCUUCCCACGGUCCGAAAAUUGCUUCAGCCUAAACGGAAGGCAAUUUCCUUUUCUUUUAUAACAAGAGAACCGCUAAGCUUCUCUUAGUAUUUCCACCCAGUGUCACCACUAAAUACCAGCACUUACAAAAAGAUCCCUCGUUGUGUCAACUGCCAGGCUGUCUAAUACGCUGAAUUUUAAAUAUGUUGGCUACAUGAUUAUUGUCAGAGAGAAUCAUGCUCCAGAUAAGGACCAGGAAGUGCAUCUAGAGACAGCAUGAAUAUUUAGAAUAAAAAUGCGCUGCUCCAGAGGUUUCUGCAGAGACUUAGAUUUGAAACAAUGGCUUUCUGUGUGCUGUGUCCCAUCCACUCAGUGACAUUGAUGCUGACUGUCAUUAUCUACAUUUCACAUCAGAGGAGAUGGAAGGAAAGGAAGAUUCAGUUUCACAAGGGGAGAACAUAACAGAUGAGGCUCGAAGGUAAAUAAUAAUAAUUGUAUGAAUAACCACCUUUACGGAGUUAUUACCAGAUGCCAGGAGUUUUCUACUCCUGUUAUACCAUCAUACGUGGAAAGACUCAUUUGACCCCCACAACAACCCAGGAGGAGGGACUAUUAUUAGCUUCACUUUGUAGAUGAGGAAACUGAGGCAGACAGAGGCCAGCCCAUCGCUGAAGACCAGGCUGCUGGAGAGUGACAAAGUGUCAGAGUCAGGAGCUCAAGCCAGGCUGUCCACUGGCAGAGCUGGAAAAACAGGAGAUAAACAUCAGCAGCGAGAGCCCAGGUCACACUGCCCGGGAUCACACCCCAGACUGCCAACUGGGUGAAUGAACCAUUCUGAGCCUUAGUUUGCUCUUCUAUAAACCGGGGAGAGCAAUGGUCCCUACCUCAUGGGUUUUUUAUUGGGAUUGCAUAAAAUAGGCCCUGAAAAGUGCUGGACGUGCCCGGCAAACAUGAGUGCUGUGCAUGCGGUCUGGGCUGGCUGCCCACCUGCCCAAAGCUCAUUCCUCUCACUGACCAGGUCAUGACUGCAACGUUUGCUCCAGGAAUCCAUCUGAGAACUCUGUCCAUGUUCUCAAAUGCCUGGAUGGCGAGGUGGCUGAGGGCAGUAUCGUGCGGUCCCCAGCAGCCAGGACUCAGCCCAGCUGACCUGUCCCCAGCCAGCAGAAGAGGAUCCGCAGAUGCCCGCAGGAAGGGGACGCAUUGCCAGGUCCACCAGCUCUCCCACAGACAGCUCCAGGCCUCACUGCUGAGUCUGUGUCCUAUAUACAAUGUCAUCUGAGGGUGGCACCGAACACCUGGCUGGCUUGCUGGCCACCCACCACCCUUUCAGCCACCCUGGCUGCCCUCUGGUUUCUAUCGCGUCUGUUAAAAGGCAGACCCCUCUGGAUGCUUUCCUCCACUCUUUCAAAGUGCCCCCACCCUCACCCUUCAAACAUCAAGUUGAUGGUUGUACCAUGAGCCACAGGAACAAUAAACAGCCCGGAAGCCACUCCACUCAAGGUCUCGAGGCCCUCCCGACAGCCGGCCGCCUGCCCUGCCACGGAGGCUGGGCAGCACAGCUGGGGGCUUGAGAGCUGGUUCAAAUCCUGUGUCUGCCCCCUGCGAGCUAUGUUUGCUCAGGCAAGUAGCUUGCCCUCUCUGGAUCUAGUUUCCCUGUCCUCAAAAGCAUGGGCAGACAUGGGCAAAGUGCUGGCUUGCAAUUCUCAAUAAAUUACAGAUUAUCAGAUCGCUAUUUAACUCAGGCAACAAAAGGAAAAUACUUGAUUGUGUGGAGAGCAAUAACUCUUAAAAAUGGGGUGGCCGCCCCAUAAUAAGAAAAGCUAGAAAAAAAUAAACCACAGACGCAGUGAUUUGGCAGGGUGAUAUACGGAGGAAAUUCUGCCAUCAGGAAACAGUAUUGUCCAUAGGUUUUCUUCCUACUUUCUUCCUUUAAUUACUAAAUAAAAUCUUCAAUCACU